UAGGGGUUGGGUAAGCCCCUCCCUUGCAACAGCAGCUUGGAUUCACUGGUUGCAGCUGAUGACCUCUGGGAUUCCUUGUUGGGAAUUGCCACUGGAGCAAGUGGUCUCUCUGGAAGAUUAUCCCUGAGCUAACAUCUGCUGCCAAUCCUCCUCUUUUUGCUGAGGAAGACUGGCCGUGAGCUAACAUCUGUGCCCAUCUUCAUCUACUUUAUAUGUGGGACACCUACCACAGCAUGGCUUGCCGUCAGUGCCAUGUGUGCAUCCGAGAUCCAAACUGGUGAACCCUACGCUGCUGAAGUGGAACAUGCACACUUAACCGCUGCACCACAGUACUGGCCUCUGGAGUAUCUUUUUCCAUCCCUUCACUUUCAGUUUGUGACUGUCUUUAGGUCUGAAUUAUGUCUCUUGUAAGUGGGAUGUCUAUGGGUCUUGUAUUUUAUCUAAUCAGCCACCCUAUGUCUUUUGAUUGGAGCAUUUACACUCCAUUGACAUUUAAAGUAGCUACUGAUAAGUAUUUUGUUACUUUUUUUCUGGAUGUUUUAGUAGUUCUCUGUUCCUUUCUUCUUUUCUUGCU
This 574-nucleotide long non-coding RNA is filed under the name Equus caballus (horse). Its description in RNAcentral is "lncRNA (ENSECAG00000048242.1)". The record is from RNAcentral. Lineage: Eukaryota; Metazoa; Chordata; Mammalia; Perissodactyla; Equidae.